AAACUUCCAUGCCUUCAUGGCUGGAGAACAAGCAACCCGAGACUGCUUGGAGUCUCCUGAAUCACCCUUCUUUGUUCCGUCUAAACUCUUUUACAUUCCUGAUGGCCUCAUCGUUAAGAAUCUGAUGUUCUCACCAACCACGGGGCUUGCCCACCCCCAUGGCCCAUCUCCUUCUUCAUUAAUAUCAACCAUCUUCUCGACAUGAAUUACCACUAUAUAUAUAACAAGGGCAAGGCCAACCGCGGGCAGAGGUUCAAAACUUUAAGCUCGUCUCUCGCUGCUGUCUUUAAGACCGAAGUCGUCCGUCACUCAGAACGAGUGCCCUUUCCCUCAGCCCUUCCCGCCCUCCCCCUGCCUGAGGUGCGGCCGGGGCUGGCCGCCGCCUCACCCCACGCUGAGGCGAGAAGAUGCCCGGGGGCUCCGGUGCUGCUGUCCUCGCCCGUGGUUUCCUCACCAGCUGUGACCUGAGGUGCUGAGCAGCCAUGGCUGGGCCCGGCCUUCUCCUGAGGUGACCGCCCCAGUCGGCAGGGGGUAAGUUGUGCUAAAGGCCCUGGCGCAGGGGAGAGGCGGGAGCUGGCCAUUUUGUCGCUCGUUCCCCUCAUGGCCCGCGGCGGGGAAGUGGUGGCGCACAUCGCCUGAGGAGAAAUUGUGCCCAGCAGCCUUCAGGCGCUGAUUGUCGACGCCUGGUGGAUGUGCACUGACCUGCUGAAGGCUUAGAACCUCAGAACCUGUCAUAUGGGCCUUGCUGUGUGUGAUGUGAUGGACUUUGGGACAUGUUCCUAAGUCUGAGUACGUACUGUGUGGCACAUGUGUGUCUACGGGCUUUUCUCGUUUAUAAAAGACUUUGAGUUCUCUUUAGUGCUGAACAGCUCUUCUUAGCUUUGAGUACCUACUCGCAGUAGAUGGCACCCUUGUAACGUGUCUACAAGAAGUUUUUCAGAAAUGUUUCCUAAAGCCAUCUUCGCUUGCUGUCUGAAGCACACCUUCAAGGGAUGAGCAGAUGUCCAGUCACUGCUGCACGGUAAGACGAGUUCUGAGGUAUUUAGAGGUUUCCUUGAAGACUAAGUUAACCUUUAAAUAAGAGCAGCUGAGGCCAGUUUUCCUCAAAACUGAGAGAAGUGUUCUGUAGGAAGUGGUUUUGAUAGUCUGUUUUUUUUCAGUGCUGGAGUGUUGUUUUUUUGGCUCAAUGUUUGGUAAAAAAUAUUGUUUGGAUAUUUAUUUUGUUUGGCUUUUGUCCUUCUGUCAGAAGUAAACUUUUUUGUUGUUGUUUUUUGCCCCAAAACAGUCACGUUAGGAUAUUUUCCUUUGUAUUAUAAACACCAAGUGUAUUUUCCAUGCUUUAAAACUAUUGUCACGUUUCCUUAUUUUCAGUGUGUCUUUUCAUCUAAUUUUUCUGGUCUUAAUUUCUGAACUCCUGUCCCCUACACAUGAACAGGAAAGAAUUACUGUUUUCCUCAUUUUUCAUUAACAUUAAAUUAACACUAGCUCGUUUUCUGGGUAUGCUUUGGAAGGCGUGUAAAGGUGGUGCUAGUGAGCAUCUGUUGUCUCCAGGUGCACAACUUCAUUAAUGGCACUCGUUAAAAUAGUUGAUCUUGUAAAAAUAGAAGGGAGAGCUAUAUCACAGAAGAGUCUUGGCAUGAUUUUAUUAAUUGGUUCUUAUCAAUUUUUGUCAGGCAAGUACUAAUUUUGUAUUAUUUCUUCAGUGAAUCUAGGGGGAAUCCCAAAAACAUGUUCAUUGAUGACAAACUUGGUUUGAGUAAAAGUAUUCUCCUUAAAAAAAAAUAUCCCCCCCAUCCUAGUUUUGUCUUUUAGGUGAAAACACUGCGCAUCACAGGUACAGGCCAUGCCAAGCAGCCAGUUGUUAGUUGUCCACUGAUGCAGGCUUCAAUUCGACAGCUAGUGUGCACAGCUGUACCUUGUUACUUGCCUCUCACUUGAGGGGAGUGCUUGGCACAGCUUCCAGUGUGAGCUUGUGGUCUUUUUACUGACAGAGCUUACGCAGGUUUUGUUUCCCUUUGCUCUUGUAAGAGAUUAUUGUCUUCAGAACAGUGUUACAGCUUGGAAUGUAAUAGCACCUAGUGCACGUAAAUAGGUUCUUUAAUAUCUUUUCUGUUGUCAUUUUUAUUACUGACCUUUUUACAGCAUAAACACGGAAGUCUAUAGAAAUACAACUCCAGCUAGUAUUAAUAAAUCAGUCCAAGCUAAGCCAAACCAAUCUAUAACAGUUUAUUUUUUAUUUUUUCCAGUUACAGAAAACACAGGUUCAGGGCUUACAAAGCCUCCCUGAAGACUUGCUUGCUGUUUUCUCAGUUUUAUUGAUGGCAAAGCAACUACAAAUACCUAAAGUUAACCAGUUAACACUUUGCCUUCAUAAUGGGAUCAUCUGGAGAUGAGUUACCCACUCCUCUGAAGUAUGUUGCUAUCUGAAGGUUUUUAAGGUCAGCUUUCUCAGGACCUGAGUUACCAGUGGCUACCCAGACGGUUAAUAAUUGAACUUGAACUUGAACUGCACAGCAAUUGGUGGAAAGUUAAUGGUUUUGUCCUUUUCUUCUGGAAUUGAAGAAAACCUCAUAUAGCUAACGCAAUAUUAGUUUCAUGUGAUGGGGCCCGUUUAAUAUGCAGUGGAGAAACAGAACUACAAAGAAUAUAAGAUAAGAUUUCAGAAUGAAUGGAGUUUGUGCCAUGCACGGAGAUUGCUCACCAAGCCUACCUUCCUGCAGUGCUCCCUAGGUGAAUGUUUUAGGAUGGCCCUUUGAGGACCAGUCUUGUUUUCUGCUUGCACCUUUCUGGCCACUUAUUUUUCUGCUACUCUCUUCGAGAAUUUGUUGUUGUCUUAUGCUUUAAUGUCCCCUUUGGUCUCCCUUUUCUUGGUCCUGUCAUUGCAGCUGUGUCAGUGUUUCCCUCUGUGUAGGUAUAAACCCAGUUAUUCUUUUUGUGGGGAUGUUCAUAAAUAUAAGCUGCUUCUCAUCUUGUCUGCCAUGGGUAACUCAACAUCCAGGCAUACAGACGUGUGUGGGCAGAUAAAAUUGUUAAUGCUUUUGUUUGUCAUAGCUCCUCAAUGUAUUUAAAUUCUGAAAUGAUGCACUUUAGUACAUCUUUACUUUAUAUUUUUAAGUGGAUUAAAAUCCAACUUCCUCACCAUUCCAAUUAUGUGCUUAAAUAUUUUCAGCCCCAACCUGUGGUUUUUCCGUAGUUUGCCACCUGUAGAGAGACACCUGUUACAGUGAGAAGUCCUCGUGCUUAAUUUCCACAGAUUAUCUGUCCUCCCCUAGGUUAUUUCUGAGUUGGAAUGUACUGCCUGACGUGAGUGAUACUGUUCAACACUAAGAAAAACUAGCCACAAGAAUCUUCAAGCCCUUGGAGGUACAUUUCCAAGGUUAUUUUAACAUCUAGUUAAGUAUUCUUGCUACUUCUUUUACAAAUAGGACUAAAAAAAAAAUGAGACUUACGGUAUUUCCUAAAAUGCUGGCCUUGAAAUCAAACUAUGUUUGGUUUUAAAAUGUUUCUAGAGGACAUUCUGAUUCUUUUUCCAACAAAUACAUUUUCAUUUUUGUUGUGUAGUAACAUUAGUAACACUAGUGACAGAACUGAUGGAUUCUGUAUGUGGCCGAUGAUAAAAGUUCAAUUUGUGUCACUUUUAACUUGAUCCCCA
Non-coding RNA from Anas platyrhynchos (mallard), 3652 nucleotides. Lineage: Eukaryota; Metazoa; Chordata; Aves; Anseriformes; Anatidae. The record is from RefSeq and is a predicted model, not a curated record.